GUGUCAGCCGCCGCGGUAAAACCAGCACCUCAAGUGGUCAGGAGGAUUAUUGGGCCUAAAGCAUCCGUAGCCUGCUUUGUAAGUUUCCGGUUAAAUCCAUUAGCUCAACUGAUGGGCCGCCGGAAAAACUGCAAAGCUAGGGAGUGGGAGAGGUAGACGGUACUCGGUAGGAAGGGGUAAAAUCCUUUGAUCUAUUGAUGACCACCUGUGGCGAAGGCGGUCUACCAGAACACGUUCGACGGUGAGGGAUGAAAGCUGGGGGAGCAAACCGGAUUAGAUACCCGGGUAGUCCCAGCUGUAAACGAUGCAGACUCGGUGAUGCACUGGCUUGUGGCCAGUGCAGUGCCGCAGGGAAGCCGUUAAGUUUGCCGCCUGGGAAGUACGUACGCAAGUAUGAAACUUAAAGGAAUUGGCGGGGGAGCACCACAAGGGGUGAAGCCUGCGGUUCAAUUGGAGUCAACGCCAGAAAUCUUACCCGAGGAGACAGCAGAAUGAAGGUCAAGCUGGAGACUUUACCAGACAAGCUGAGAAGUGGUGCAUGGCCGUCGCCAGCUCGUGCCGUGAGAUGUCCUGUUAAGUCAGGUAACGAGCGAGAUCCCUGCCUCUAGUUGCCACCAUUNACUCUCAGGAGUAGUGGGGCGAAUUAGCGGGACCGCCACAGUUAAUGUGGAGGAAGGAAGGGGCCACGGCAGGUCAGUAUGCCCUGAAACCUUGGGGCCACACGCGGGCUGCAAUGAUAGUGACAAUGAGUUCCUAAACCGAAAGGUGGAGGCAAUCUUCAAACGCUAUCACAGUUAUGAUUGAGGGCUGCAACUCGCCCUCAUGAAUAUGGAAUCCCUAGUAACUGCGUGUCAUUACCGCGCGGUGAAUACGUCCCUGCUCCUUGCACACACCGCCCGUC
Molecule: ribosomal RNA, 901 nt
Filed under: uncultured archaeon
Lineage: Archaea
Description: bacterial SSU rRNA
Rfam family: Archaeal small subunit ribosomal RNA
Source: RNAcentral